This 815-nucleotide long non-coding RNA is filed under the name Elaeis guineensis (African oil palm). Its description in RNAcentral is "long non-coding RNA (EGUI_LNC057616)". The record is from RNAcentral. Lineage: Eukaryota; Viridiplantae; Streptophyta; Magnoliopsida; Arecales; Arecaceae.
AUCUGUACGGUCCUACAUAUUUUCCUGAGCUGAUGAUGCUUAGAUCUGCGACGAGGCUGAUGCUUGCUUUUCCAUUGAUUUAUUUUUUAUACCUUGCUCUGUCUCAUCAUUCUGGGCCAAUGAUGUUCGUGAAUUUUACAAUAAGGGUUUGGAAAAAAAUGGCCAAUUUAUUAGCAUGAGUGCUUCUUUUUCUGUUGCUUUUUCAAGCAGAUCUCCGAAGAAGAGUGCAACACCCUAUCCCGGUGGAUCGGACAAAGUUCUAAGCCUGGUCCUUUUGACUGGCCCAGAUAACAGAACCAACACAUCAGGAGAUGGCCCAAAAGGGCAGCAUGGCUUUUAAAGCAUGACCAAUUUAAAAAAAUCUUUUGGCCAACAUGUGCUGGGAAGAGGGAUGGGUCGGAUUAGGACUCAUCUUCCUCCUCUACUAGAAGCCGAGUUUGAGGAGGAUUUUGAUGCCUGGAGACCACCCAAAUUUGGAUUAUAAUCCUAUUUAAAUCCAUUCUGAGCCCCCUUCUACGCCGACUUCAACCCCCACCAUGGACCAUCACCGGAAGAAAUUCAUUUUCCUCUUCUUCGUCUUUUGAGAGUUUCCACAGCAUUCACUGGAAUCGCAUCCAAUCGUCACUGGAAAUAAGGUAAAAUUUCUUCUCACUAUCUUCUCCCUCAGCCACCAAAAUUUAGUUUCCAACUGACUAUCAUCAGAAUUUCUUUGAAAAAAUCCGGGCUUAGUUUUCUAUUAUUUUCCGUCCAUUUUCUCUAAUUUUUCGACACUGAUUGUCGCCGCCGAGUGCUAGCUGAGGUGCCUUCCACUGCAC